RNAcentral lists this ribosomal RNA (274 nucleotides) under uncultured bacterium. Its description in RNAcentral is "partial 16S ribosomal RNA". It matches the Rfam family "Bacterial small subunit ribosomal RNA", at positions 523 to 796 of the family's 1533-position model. The record is from RNAcentral.
AUACGAAAGGUGCAAGCGUUGUUCGGAUUUACUGGGCGUAAAGAGAGUGUAGGUGGUUUAUUAAGUCGGAUGUGAAAUCCCGGGGCUCAACCUCGGAACUGCAUUCGAUACUGGUAGACUAGAGUUCGGGAGGGGUAAGCGGAAUUCCGUGUGUAGCAGUGAAAUGCGUAGAUAUACGGAGGAACACCUGAGGCGAAGGCGGCUUACUGGACCGAUACUGACACUGAGACUCGAAAGCGUGGGUAGCAAACAGGAUUAGAAACCCCGGUAGUCC